AUUGUGAUUCUUUCUCCUUGCGUAAAUCGUCUUUAACUUCAAGAAUGCCCAAAUCUGGAUCAAUGUGGAAAUACUUGAGAGCUUUUCCUCGGCCCACUAAUUCAUAGCGCACCUGAUAAAUAAGGAGCCGUGGCAUCUGAGUCUGUUGCCUGAAGACUUCCAACUUUCGUUCCAAUUUCAACAUUAUCAUCUAGAUUUAUAGUUGGCGAAGCAUUCAAGAACACAGGAGGUAUGUCAUUACGGUCCUGAAACAAGAAGUUCCAAACUAAAUUGAAGCAUAAACUUAAACACAAAACAUUAUAAGUAAAUUGGAUCUCCAAAAAAAAAAAAACAUUUGGUAAGAAAAUAUUUCCAGCCGGUUGAUUGCAAAAUCGGACUGUUGUGUUUUGUUUCAUUAAUGUCCUUAAAAAUUAAAAAAUAAGUACCUAGACAUGUCUUGUUUUGUUCUUAAUAUAAUCAAAUUUUGGUAAAUAAAAUUAUUUCCUAAGGCAUCGAAAA
This is a non-coding RNA of Bemisia tabaci, 498 nucleotides long. Lineage: Eukaryota; Metazoa; Arthropoda; Insecta; Hemiptera; Aleyrodidae. The record is from RefSeq and is a predicted model, not a curated record.